UUUGGAAAAAUUGCGUUGAAAGCUUCUUCUCCGUCUCUGCAAUGAAGCGUAGCCUUGGGUCCAAUUCCUCAGGCGGCAGUGGGAGUAGCAAGAAGUCUAAGAAGAAGAACCCUAGCAAUCAGAAAACCCUAGGCGCCGCAUGGGGCUCCGGCGCCGCUUCUCUACCUUCUUCUCGUUCCUCUCCAUUUUCGGAUUUCGGAAGUUACAUGGAAGUGAAAAAUCGGAAACUUCAGAACCAAUUUGAAAACGAGGCUUCUACUGGUGUUUCGGAUUCUGAGAAACUUAUCUUCCAAGGCGUUUCAAUCUUUGUGGAUGGUUUCACUAUUCCUUCCCAUCAGGAACUGCGAGGUUACAUGUUGACUUAUGGUGGGAGAUUCGAGAACUACUUUUCAAGGCGUUCUGUAACACAUAUCAUCUGCAGCAACCUUCCUGAUAGCAAAGUCAAGAAUCUACGGGCAUUCAGCAGAGGGUUACCUGUUGUGAAACCCGCAUGGAUAGUGGACUCUAUCUCUGCCAACAGACUUCUGGGAUGGGUUCCUUACCAGCUAGAUCAACUGAAUCAUACCCAGCCAAAGCUGUCUGCGUUUUUUGCACCCAGAAGGCAUUCCAAUCCGCAGGUGGCUUCGUCGGUUACAUCUUCUCAGCCUGAAACUGGAUACAGUGAAGCUGAAGAAGGAAGUUCAAUUAAAGCAGGAGAUUCAGAGGAAUCAAGAGCCCACGUUGCUGAUGAAUUUGAUGGCGUUUAUACUGAGACGUCUAUUCCAGAAAUAACUGCACAAACAAGAACUGACGAUCUGAAAUCUUCUGAAGUGAAUGCAGACAUACUUGGUAGCUAUGACAACGAAGAAAAAGAACUUAGUAGUGAACUCCAGUCCACUACCAAUCUGCCUUCUGCUUCGAACAAUAAAUCCUCACAUGGAAAACCGGUUUCAACUGCUGCUGGAUCCUCUGUAAGGCGCCAUUCAACUCUCGAGGACCCCAAUUUUGUGGAAAACUACUUCAAGAAUUCAAGGCUGCAUUUUAUUGGAACAUGGAGAAACAGAUACCGUAAAAGAUUCCACGGCUCUUUUAAUGGACUUAAAUGGGCAGAUUCUGGCCAGAGUACAGCUGAAAAUGCCAAGAAGUCAACCAUUAUCCACAUCGAUUUGGAUUCCUUCUUUGUGUCAGUGGUUAUCAGGAACCGUCUUGAAUUACAAGACAAGCCCGUAGCCGUAUGCCACUCAGAUAAUCCGAAAGGAACGGCGGAAAUUUCCUCUGCAAACUAUCCAGCUAGGGCUUAUGGAGUGAAGGCAGGUAUGUUUGUAAGACAUGCCAAAGAGCUUUGCCCUCAGCUUGUUAUUGUUCCGUACAAUUUUGAAGCUUAUGAAGAGGUAGCUGAUCAGUUUUAUGACAUCCUGCAUAGGCAUUGCAGAAAAGUUCAGGCGGUAAGCUGCGAUGAAGCAUUUUUAGAUGUCUCAGAUGUGAGAUAUGUAGAACCUGAUAUCUUAGCAUCAACAAUAAGAAAAGAGAUCCUUGACACUACUGGAUGCAGUGCAAGUGCUGGGAUAGGCAGUACUAUGCUAAUGGCUCGCCUUGCUACCAGAGUUGCUAAACCAGCCGGUCAGUUUCAUAUCUCUGCUGAGAAGGUAGAGGAGUUCUUGGAUCAGCUUGCAGUCGGCACACUUCCUGGUGUAGGUUCUGUGUUGAAGGAGAAGCUGGAGAAGCAAAAUAUUCAAACAUGUGGGCAGUUACGUUUGAUAUCCAAGGAUGCUCUUCAAAAGGAUUUUGGGGUGAAAACCGGUGAGAUGCUUUGGAGUUAUAGUAGAGGACUAGACCUUCGGUCUGUUACGGCGGUGCAGGAGAGCAAGUCCAUAGGGGCGGAAGUGAAUUGGGGCGUAAGGUUUAGAGAUCAGCAAGAUGUUCAGCACUUCCUCCAAUGCCUAUGCAAGGAAGUUUCUCUGCGUCUGCAAGGAUGUGAAAUGAUAGGACGCACUUUUACUCUUAAGAUAAAAAAGAGAAAAAAAGAUGCCGGAGAACCUGCGAAGUAUAUGGGUUGUGGUGACUGUGGCAACUUUAGCCGUUCUAUCACAGUGCCUGCCGCUACUGAUGACAUAGAAGUGUUACGGAGAAUUUCAAAGAAGUUGUUUGGGUCGUUUUGCUUGGAUGUUAAGGAAGUUCGUGGGGUUGGGCUUCAGGUCUCUAAGCUUGAGGGUGCAGAUCCUUCUAAUAAAGGUUCAAAGACUCUGACAUCAUGGCUCAACUCUGCGCCUGCCUCUGUCCAAACAGAAAAAGAUGAUAAUGUCUUUGCUGCAGAAGUUAAAGAAAUCCCAGAUGGUAAGAGGCGCGAUACUGGUGGAGUUUCUAGACUCCGAGAAUGUGAUUCAGCAGAACCUUCGGUUCAGUCAGGUGAUACAAAUUCGUCCUUGCCGCCCAUGUGUCACCUUGACAUGGAAGUUCUAGAGAACCUUCCUCCAGAUCUCCUUUCGGAAUUAGAUGGAACCUACGGCGGGAAGUUGUAUGAUUUGAUUGAGAAAAAACGAGGCAAAAGAAAGAUCAACAACGAUUCUCCACACGUCUCCUUGGACGACAUGAAAGUAUCGAGUUCUGUCUCAGUUCAGAUGCACGGCUCGAGCACAUCUGGAGGAAAGGAACUUGAAGAACCUCAUGUACCUAAUGAGCGCGCCAUUGAAAUUACUGAUUUGAUGCCGUCAUCCCUUAGUCAAGUCGACGUCUCUGUGUUACAAGAAUUGCCUGAAGAGUUGAGAGCUGAUGUAUUGGAAGCAUUUCCUGUCCACCGGAGAGACCAGUCAUCAUCAUCAGAUGCUCCCAUGGAGACUUGUACGAAACAAGAUAAGGAGCCAACAUAUAUAAAUGACUCUGAGAAUGAGAUUGGAUUCUCAAGUAGCUCUCUCUGGUUCGGGAACCCUCCUUUGUGGGUAGAGAAUUUCAAAGUUAGCGGCAAUUGUACUUUGGAGAAAAUGUCAGAGAUAUACUGCAAGUUGGCUCAGUCAAGGCCGCCUUUGUUAUCCACGGUGCUCCAACGUGCUCUUUCGGAAGUUGGGAGUUUUCCUGAUGCAAGUGCCAAUGAUCUGGAGAAAACUGUUGACGAUGUGUGUGAAUUUAUUGAAGAGUACAUUGAGAUCAAGGUAGAAGGUGAUAUAGAAGAGAUAUAUCUCUGCUUCCGUUUUCUGAAAAGAUUAGCAGCAAGGAACCAACUCUUCCACCAAGUCAAUGAGAAUGUGUCUCCAUUUAUUCAGGCCUUGAUCAAUGAACACUAUGGAGGAAGCUUGAGCAUUCCUUGAAAGGUCUUUUUUCCUGAAAUAAACCAUAUGCUUCAAAUUGCUCUUUGGCUGGAUGCUACUGAAGAAUGCAUACUUGCAGAAGAAUGUGGAUCCCCAAGGGCAUCGUGGUGAGCGAAUGCACAUGAAAGUGGUUCAGACCUUAAAAAGAACAGAGCCACCACUCUUUUUUUUUUCUCUUCAUAGGAGUGUAAAUUGAAGAAACAAACAGACACACAUUGUAUUUAAUAGCACACUUUACAAGUAUAGUCUUUGCUUAUGUCGUGUAAAUUGACUACACUCUUUUAUAUAUUUGUAGCUUUAUUGUAUAAACUAAAGUUAUAUAUGAA
Molecule: RNA transcript, 3607 nt
Organism: Raphanus sativus (radish)
Lineage: Eukaryota; Viridiplantae; Streptophyta; Magnoliopsida; Brassicales; Brassicaceae
Gene name: DNA repair protein REV1
Exons: 24
Source: RefSeq, a predicted model, not a curated record